CCUACGGGAGGCAGCAGUGGGGAAUAUUGCACAAUGGGGGAAACCCUGAUGCAGCGACGCCGCGUGAGUGAAGAAGUAUUUCGGUAUGUAAAGCUCUAUCAGCAGGAACGAGACAAGACGGUACCUGACUAAGAAGCCCCGGCUAACUACGUGCCAGCAGCCGCGGUAAUACGUAGGGGGCAAGCGUUAUCCGGAAUCACUGGGUGGAAAGGGAGCGUAGACGGCUGAGCAAGCCUGAAGUGAAAGGCGGGGGCCCAACCCCCGGACUGCUUGGGGAACUGUACGGCUGGAGUGCAGGAGAGGUAAGUGGAAUUCCUAGUGUAGCGGUGAAAUGCGUAGAUAUUAGGAGGAACACCAGUGGCGAAGGCGGCUUACUGGACUGUAACUGACGUUGAGGCUCGAAAGCGUGGGGAGCAAACAGGAUUAGAUACCCGGGUAGUC
RNAcentral lists this ribosomal RNA (441 nucleotides) under uncultured bacterium. RNAcentral's name for it is "partial 16S ribosomal RNA". It matches the Rfam family "Bacterial small subunit ribosomal RNA", at positions 338 to 795 of the family's 1533-position model. The record is from RNAcentral.